ACUAUUUUGACAGAUUAGUGUAAUAAAUUUAGAAUUUAUAAAUAUAUUUAAUAUUUAAAUAUAAAUAGUA
RNAcentral lists this transfer RNA (70 nucleotides) under Tamarixia radiata. RNAcentral describes it as "tRNA-Leu". The record is from RNAcentral. Lineage: Eukaryota; Metazoa; Arthropoda; Insecta; Hymenoptera; Eulophidae.